GUUUAAACAGGGGGCUAUAAAAGAUGUAACAGAUGCAAACUGUAACACAAGGGCCAUUAACCCUUUCUCUGCCGGGCAUACUCAGUCCCCACGCCCCGCACCUAUUGUCUCCUGUGCUCGAAGCUUUGCAGAAAACCUGGAAAUUUUGGCCAGAAAUGGUGAGAAGAAAAAGCAUGAAGAAGCCGCGAAGUGUGGGGGAGAAAAAGGUGGAAGCGAAGAAACAGCUCCCGGAGCAAACUGUACAAAAACCUCGCCAAGAGUGUCGGGAGGCAGGACCGUUAUUCCUGCGGAGCAGGAGAGAGACGAGAGACCCUGAAACACGCGCCACCUAUCUUUGUGGGGAGGGAUAAUUGAAGCGCCCUGAGCGUGAGCAUCAUGUGAAAACGUGAUCGCCAAGUUUCUCUCUGGGAAAGGAUCUGGGAUAGAUUAUACCUUGAAGUCUCCGCAAACGCUUUAGUGGAAGAAAUGAAAUUCCACCUCCCUCCCUUCCUCUCUCCCUCCCUUUCGCCUUCGCCUCCCCCCCCCCCCCCCCUCCCCCCCCCCCCCCCCCCCCCGCCCGUCAAGCCUUUGGCAUCAUUAUCCUCAUCACUAAAUCCUACAGAGUACAGGGCGGAAAACCGUGCACACCAUUCACAGAACUGGAGAACUCUAUGGGGCGAAAGUUAAAGGGAAAGAUCCCGGGUCCUCAAAUCUCAAAUCCAGAUCGUCUCUUCUUGUACAGAUAUCUCUAAUGAUCAGAUUUGAGAUGCACAUCAAAUUGUGUGGAUAUCUCAGCACAGCUUCUGGAACAAAAUUAUCUGCCCUUUCUCUUAUUAUUAUUAUUUUUUUCUUUUUAGGUACCAGAGCCAGAAAAAAAAAUGCAUGAGAGAUGCAUCUUAGGGCAUGUGUGUUAGGGUGUGUGUGUGAUGAAUUUUUGGAUUGGAUCCUAAUAUUAAAAAGUAGUUUGGCAUUUUAAUAAAGGGUCUCUAAGUAAAUUAACAUAGAACA
This is an RNA transcript of Sapajus apella (tufted capuchin), 987 nucleotides long. RefSeq lists it as uncharacterized. The record is from RefSeq and is a predicted model, not a curated record. The transcript has 3 exons. Lineage: Eukaryota; Metazoa; Chordata; Mammalia; Primates; Cebidae.